CCUACGGGUGGCAGCAGUGAGGAAUAUUGGUCAAUGGGCGCGAGCCUGAACCAGCGAAGUAGCGUGAAGGAUGACUGCCCUACGGGUGGUAAACUUCUUUUAUAAAGGAAUAAAGUGAGGCACGUGUGCCGUUUUGUAUGUACUUUAUGAAUAAGGAUCGGCUAACUCCGUGCCAGAAGCCGCGGUAAUACGGAGGAUCCGAGCGUUGUUCGGAUUUAUUGGGUUUAAAGGGAGCGUAGAUGGGUUGUUAAGUCAGUUGUGAAAGUUUGCGGCUCAACCGUAAAAUUGCAAUUGAUACUGGCAAUCUUGAGGACAGUUGAGGUAGGCGGAAUUCGUGGUGUAGCGGUGAAAUGCUUAGAUAUCACGAAGAACUCCGAUUGCGAAGGCAGCUUACUAAACUGCCACUGACAUUGAUGCGCGAAAGUGUGGGUAUCAAACAGGAUUAGAUACCCGGGUAGUC
This 460-nucleotide ribosomal RNA is filed under the name uncultured bacterium. RNAcentral describes it as "partial 16S ribosomal RNA". It matches the Rfam family "Bacterial small subunit ribosomal RNA", at positions 338 to 795 of the family's 1533-position model. The record is from RNAcentral.